CAGUCGCCGCGGUAAUACGUAGGUGGCAAGCGUUGUCCGGAAUUAUUGGGCGUAAAGCGCGCGCAGGCGGAUCGGUCAGUCUGUCUUAAAAGUUCGGGGCUUAACCCCGUGAUGGGAUGGAAACUGCCAAUCUAGAGUAUCGGAGAGGAAAGUGGAAUUCCUAGUGUAGCGGUGAAAUGCGUAGAUAUUAGGAAGAACACCAGUGGCGAAGGCGACUUUCUGGACGAAAACUGACGCUGAGGCGCGAAAGCCAGGGGAGCGAACGGGAUUAGAUACCCCAGUAGUCCCUGUCUCUUAUACA
Molecule: ribosomal RNA, 301 nt
Filed under: uncultured bacterium
Lineage: Bacteria
Description: partial 16S ribosomal RNA
Rfam family: Bacterial small subunit ribosomal RNA
Source: RNAcentral